UCUUGGACAAUGGGCGCAAGCCUGAUCCCCCCCUGCCGCUUGAGUUCUGAAGGCCUUGGGGUUGUAAAGCUCUUUAACCGCUGAAUAUAAUGACGGUACUUGGAGAAUAAGCCCCGGCUAACUUCGUGCCAGCAGCCGCGGUAAUACAAGGGGGCGAGCGUUAUUCGGAAUCACUGGGCGAAAGCGUGCGCAGGCUGUUUUGUAAGUUGGGAUGUAAAUCCCCGGGCUCAACCUGGGAAUUGCUCUCAAAACUCAAGGCUUAAUCCCGCAGGGGGGAGGAGAAUUUGUCCGUGAGCAGUAAAUGCGAAAUUGGCAGGACACCAGUGGGGUAGGCGGCACUCUGGUCGGAAUUGCGUGUACAGAG
This 364-nucleotide ribosomal RNA is filed under the name uncultured bacterium. Its description in RNAcentral is "bacterial SSU rRNA". It matches the Rfam family "Bacterial small subunit ribosomal RNA", at positions 362 to 750 of the family's 1533-position model. The record is from RNAcentral.